AGAGCAGGACAAAUGGCCGCUGCCUUGCUCUUUCGCAAGGGAGAGGAAAGUCCGGGCUCCGCAGGACGGGGUGCUGGGUAACGCCCAGUCCCGGUGACGGGCAGGAAAGUGCCACAGAAAGGAAACCGCCCCACGUCCUAUCGUAGAUAUGGGGUGGGGUAAGGGUGAAAGGGUGAGGUAAGAGCUCACCAGUCCCGUCGGUGACGACGGGAGCUAGGCAAACCCCACCUGGAGCAAGACCAAAUAAGGGAACGCUUGAGGGUGGUCCGCCCGAGUUCCCGGGUAGGUCGCUUGAUCUCCAUGGUAACGUGGAGACUAGAUGAAUGGCCAUUGUCCCUGAGCAGGUGACUGCUUGGGGAAACAGAACCCGGCUUAUGGCCUGCUCUGACA
Molecule: RNase P RNA, 390 nt
Filed under: Deltaproteobacteria bacterium
Lineage: Bacteria; Pseudomonadati; Myxococcota; Myxococcia
Also listed under: 1 other name
Description: RNase P RNA component class A
Rfam family: Bacterial RNase P class A
About the family: Ribonuclease P (RNase P) is a ubiquitous endoribonuclease, found in archaea, bacteria and eukarya as well as chloroplasts and mitochondria. Its best characterised activity is the generation of mature 5'-ends of tRNAs by cleaving the 5'-leader elements of precursor-tRNAs.
Source: RNAcentral